UGGAGCGCAGCGCCUGCGCGCUACCGGCGCGCGCGGCGCCUCCCGCGGGCCUCGGCGGGGCGGGAGCGGGCAGGGCCCGCCCGCUGGCGAGGGCGCGGCGGCCGGGAAGCGGGUGGGCGGCUGAGGUUUCCCGGGUUAUUGCCGAGCAGAGGGCGGGGGGGGGGUUCCCCGCCGCGCUGCUGACGCCGGCAGCCUGGCCCCGGGGAGGGGAGGGCGGACGGUGUGCCCGGAGCCGCCGGGCCCCGCUGGUCAGCGGGGGGCGGCCGGCGAGGGGCUCAGGGUGUAGGGGGGAGCGCGCCCACCCAGGGGCUGGGGGGCGACCGGCCUGUGGGGCAGGGGAGGAGGAGCUCUUGUUAGAGGAUUUGAGAUCAAAUCGCACAAAUUUAUAAGCACUUGAAAAAAUGUUGAAUCAGGUGCUGCCAAACAGGAUGGACAGUCCAGCUUUUUUCACCCUCCUGGUUCCAUAUCUCCUGCCCAGUGUCCCAACACCAGAUUUUGUGCCUUACCCAUUCAAGGUCGGUUUGGACAAGUGAACCAUUUGUAUGUUCCACAGGGUACCUCACCCCCAUCCCGAACCAGGUCAGGAGAAGAAGAGUGCAGAAAAACUUCUACUACACACAGUCACAAAUAUAAGGAGAAUGCAGCAAAUUUUUAAGUUCCUGCUGGAGAUUCUGGAAAGAACUCUUUCCCCAGACCUAAAAUGGAGACAGUUUGCGGGACCUUAACACCCAUGCUUCUUCCCAGGCAUUGAAAGGAAAGAGAGCCACUUGCAGGAGUUGUCGUGUUUCCUCUUUCUCAAGCCUCUCAUGGAAAAAAUUAUUACAGCUCUUCGCUCAUGUUUAUUUCUUACCCCAAACUUUGGUCCACUUUCUGGAGGAAGGGGUAAAGGAAUUAUUUUUCUUGCUGUCUGCCACAUUGCUAUCUGAGUCUGCAAAACCAAGGGGAGGGCAUGAUUUGCUGCGAGGGAAGGAAUGAGCAGUUAGAAGAAGGGAGAUCCUACGCCAGCACUGAGGCUGAAGAAAAUGCCUCAGUGUACCGCCUCAGAAAUGUUUGUGUCAGCCCAGCUGAUGUGGUGGUGGUAUGUGGUGCUAUGGGAUCAGCAGGUGUUAGAGAGCCAGGAUCUCUUUCCAACUGCACAAUAGCUGAAGAAAACGGAUUGUGAAAUGGUGCUGUCGUUACGUAGCAGUGUUACGCUCAGCAUGUCUCACAAGAGGAUUUCGUUAGAGUCCCUUCCUUUUUCUUGAGCAUAGACUCAGCUGGUAGACUGACCUUUGUACUCAAUGUGAAUGCAAAUGCAGUAUUGAGCUUUAUAAUGAACAAGUGUUUAACUGUUUUGAUUGAAAUAUCUGCUCACUGGCAUGAAGAAUUUAAGUUUGUGAAUGGCAACAUGCAUACAUAAUAUUUUAUAGCUCAUUACACAAAAAUAAGUGAGAACAAGGGGUCACCAGCUCUUGACAGAGAUUAGAUAUUCUGAGGAUCACAUCUGAGAGUGACAGCAUGCCUAGCAUACGUGUUAUGUAAACAGCUUAAGAGAUUUUUUUGUGAUAAUACUGUGUAGACUUCUUGGAACCUUAUGAAAGAUGAGAUCAAUGAAAAAAAAAGAUUCAGCUUUCUACAGAGAAGUCAAGGAAAUGUAAUCCAGACUCAUUGACUGCUUCUGUAGUAGGAAAUCAAUGUCUGGUCAAACUCCCCAGGCAGUAUAACAUACUGUUCCAUACUGUUCAAUUAUUAGAGCUGGCCUUGGCAUACUUUCUGCUUGCACCAACUUUCUGCUUGCACCAACAGAAUCCUCCCAAACAGUUACUGGCAGGGGCUGCUUUCAUCUCAGGGAUGAUGGGGUCCAUCUGCACCAGAACUUUACAGACUUGCUUAAAUCUUUCCUUGUCUUUAAUUGUUACACAUUGGAAAGAGAAAAAAACAGCCAUUAACAUGUAAAGAGUCUUGUAACUUCCUCCUAUGUACUUCUUUUCAUGCUUAGCCCAAGUGGCCAUAUGCCCAUCUUUGUGAGAAAGUUGUUGCAACAUAUAACAACUUAUUACAUCAUGGAACAGGUUUCCAUAGUUUUUUGUUUGUUUGUUUGUUUGUUAACUAUCAAUUGUAUCACAGAGUUCAUGUUCAUUCACAUGCAUGUGCAGUAGACCUCAGUGGGGAUUUUGCUGACUUGAAGAAAUAGGCACAGGUUCUUUGUCUCACUCGGUCUGAAAUACUCCAUUUACUUCUCUGUUUGUAAUGACAGGCAUUGCAGUUAUUUACAUGCUUGCUCACAGACGAGGCUACGUACUGGACCUUUAAGCUUUUGGCUUUGAAAUGUUGCUCAAGCUCCUUUGAAAAACUAAGACAGAUACAAUGUUGGUGUGGGAACAAGUCUGCAGCCUGUAUCAGAAUGUUGUUAGGAAAUGCCUGUUUGUAAGGUAGUGCCACCUCUUCUUUAAAUGCUAUCACAAAGAGAAAUCACAAAGACAAGCUAUCUCUGACCAAGCUUUUUCCUAGUGAUUAAAAGCACUACCUGUGUUCACUUUCAAUAGAUAGAGAUAAUAACCCCUUUCCCAAAAAGCUUGUCAGUGAUCACCUACACAUUCCAUGAAUCCUAAAGAAGUUUGGUGGUCCUUUCAUACAGAUUUUGGGUAGAAAUACACAUCUUUUCUCUAACAGUGAUCCAAACUUCUGUCCAUUUUGAUUCUCCACAGCUACCGCUCUUUCUCUCAAAAUCCUAGUUCCCAGAACCUGAGAACUAAAGACACCAAUCCCAAAGCCGUCUAGGUGUGCCAUUAUCAGAGACUUCUGUCAUGUGAUCCAUAGCCCAGAGUUAAAGCCCUUUUAAACGCCUAUGCUGCAUGUCCUAUAAUUACCUUUGCACUGUAUCCUGAAGAAAGUAGAUAAAUGAUGUACUGUGAAAAUCACUGCAUCACCAAGUGCUUUUAUUCAUCUAGCAGGAGCUGUAUAGGCUGGUCACCUCUCCAACGGAGCAGCAGCAAUGCACAAUACUUAGCAGUCAACCACCCAAUCAAGGACAACAAGUUUGUUUGAGUCUGAGGAAGGUGCUUGCCUGAAGUGUAAGGCUUAAAAAAACCCAAAGAGACAGGGUAACAAGGAUGGUUUAAGAAGAAAGACUGGGUUGUGAGCCAAUCGGCAAGUCACUUAGAGGUAGCAAUAUUUUCAACAAAAGAGCUGCUCUGCUGUAGCUAUGUUGGAAGACGACCCUUCAUACUCUGUUAAUGGUAUUUGUCUAGGGUAUGUGACCUGAUAUGCACCCUGGAAUAAAACUAACUUAAUGAGCAGUAAUGCAGAGCAGUUUCUUAUAACAGGCUAUGUGCUCUCAGCUCUAGUACCUUGAUAGUUCUGGGUUGGAGGGAGAGUCAUUAAUCUUUAAAGAUCAUAAAAAUCAUCCGUAAAAGGAGAAACCUAAUUUUUUGGGGGCUCUGAAUGAGGUAAAAGAAGACUAACUAAGAGGUUUUGACUUUCUUAAGUAUAUUUGAACAUCCUGAGACCCUUAAAAAGAGAAAAGCUAGAGACAGUAAUUGUAUUUAGGAGAAUGUUUAUUUUCUUAAUACUGUGUAAUCUUUUGUGCUUUAUAAAUGAAUAUCUCAUCCCCAGAUACAGAACUCAGUGAAACCUAACCACCUUGCUUGGCAAAAACAGCACUGUUACAGAAGUGAGACUAAUCUACUAUUCUGAUUAAGAGAUGAGGAAGGGAUUAGAUAUCCCUGGGUAUGGAAAGGACAAACAUGAUAAAGAAAAUCAUGGUUCAGUCAAGAGCUCUGUCCAGUGCCUUUAUGAACUUCUGUUUAUUUACAUCUGACCUACACCUCCUGAGAGUUAAGGUAUAGACCAGAAAGAUCAUAUCUUCUGUAAUGUUCUGGAACAGGGUGCUGUUACCUAGGUGCACAAAUGUCUUCUGAUAAAGAGUCCCACCUCAUAAAACAUGCUAGUACCCUAAUCAGUCUAAAUCAGGAGAAAAUGUUCGGUCCUUUGUUCUUUCAAUAAUCCAAUGUCUCUGUUUGGCAUGGGAAGUCCCAUGCAAAAUCCUUUCCAAACAUUAGCUAUGUUUUAGAGAUACUGUACAUAGUGCAUUAAAUUAGACCCAUAAUUAUUUUAGUGUGCAAAUCAGUCUUGUAUAGACCAGGCUCUCAUUCCAUAGACUGUUGGGGACAAAGUAAAGAAUGGAAAUUGGUUGUUGUGCUGAAUUUUAUGGAUUUGUAGAAAGCAUUUUGAUAGCAUGAACAGAGACUCAAAAUGCUAGAUACCACAACUCUGCGAGGUAUCUGGUGAUUAAAACUUCAUGACAGGAUCCGUCAUGUGAAGUCAGGAUAAGCAUUAAUCUAUUCGAUCCAAAUUACAUAUUUUUUCCUUGCAAAUCUCUGUAGGACUAUUCAAGAACAGAAUAGAAUGAGAAAAAAUAGGGAGAUCUGGGAGUGGGCACAGGUACUUUCAAAAAUACAUGUAAUACAGAAGAAAUAUUUUAUAAACAAAACUGGAAGAACCCAACUUUAAGGUAUUUUUUAAUCCUCAUGAUUGCCUGGGUCCUGACUGAAACAUGUAAGUGCUCAUAGUAUUUGUUAUAGGGAAUUUCUGAAUAUGCUGAUACUCUUGCUUUAUCUGUGGCCCUUCUAUUUCCAUUUUAGAAUAAUCUAAGAAACAUUUCCCAAUGAAGGAAAAGUAAUCAAAAUAUUCUGUCUGGCAACAACUGACAGAAUAUGAAAUCUGACUGGCUGAGCAAUGUGUGUGGACUGAUGAGCCAAGCAGCAGGUAUAUAACUCAUACUGGCUGUCUCAAGUGCAAUUUUUGCCUAGUGAAGGUAUCAUAUGGGACACAAUGUGAGGACUGGAUUUGGAAAAUAAUGCCAGUAAUCCAUAGGAAACCAGGCUUCAUUAGUUCUGCUGCUCACAGAAAAAAACCUGUUAUGUGAACAUGUGUUUUGUGAAGCAAGUCCUAUUAUCUGGAAAGGGAGGAGGCUAAUUUGAACAAGUUCCAAAGAAAGAAGAUGGAGUCAAAUAAAAAAAUCAACAUAUUAAAAAGCAUCCCAGACAAACUUUCAUUUCAUUUUCAGAAACUUCCAAAGAGAACUAAAUUGUCACUGCAAUCUCCUAGAAUUGAUUAACAACCUGAAAAGGAAGCUGAGGAUUUCCAGAUACUCACUUGUACACAAUGGCAUCCUGGUUACCCUUAGGUAUAGUUGAGCUGGAGUGGGCUUCAGUUCAGGAUCCUGCAAGGAAAGGGAGUAUUCCUGAGCCAGCGUACCAUUGGGCUUUUCCAUGCACAUGUGAAAGACGUCCCAGAGAAAUCUCAAAUGACAGAGACUAGUGUUCAAUUUAAUUCUUUUUUUUGUUUUAUAUUUGCACCCUUCUUUCCAAAUUUAUCAGCAAUCUCUUUUUAUCUUAACUCUUUGUUAGAUAAAAUUUAUUGGUUUUAUAUUGUGCUUAUCUAUUGUUUAAAAAGAACCCCAGCACAUCUAAUAAAAGUGAUGAAUCUUAUUUUUCUGAUGGUAUCAAAUCCCUGUGGUAGUAAAGGUAAAAUGGUAGCACAAAUAAAUUCACUAGGUACCUGUAACCAAAGAUAAAUCUGGGAAUCACAGAGGUGAAACAGAUUUUGUUCCAAGCUGUGAGGGUCAGUUGUGAGUCUGCCCUCAUCCUAAGCCAGGAAAAGGAAAGGAGGCUUUAGGUGGGCAUUUUCAGCUCCUCUGUAAAAGGGGCAGCCAGAGAACAAAACUCUAUGAUAACGUGAAAACUUCACAUUGUUUUUAUUCAAAGUAUUCUACAUGAUCUGCAUUGCUCAUUACUGCCUAUGCUGCUGAAAGAGAGGCAAGCGGCUUUAUAUUCCAAGUUCUUCUGAAGUGUGAAGGAGCACUGGAAUAGAGAGGAGGAAGCUGGUACAUCAUCUGAAGCCAGGAUAAAAGCUUGGUCUUCAUUCUGCACAAUAAUUUAUCGUGUUGGGAAACUGCUGUUGCUGAGCUGUGUGCUAAUUAACAAAGAAGCGUGUUGAAAACAGUAUUGGAUUAGGAUAUCAGUUAUCAGGCUAAUUAAUUGUUUCAAAUCUGUUAGAUUGAGAGGAGUAUCAAUUCCAUCAUUCAAGGAAGCAGAGAGAUGCCUUUUGUAGCACUGCACUAGACUGCUCACCUCUGUCCCAAGAGGAUGAGUACAGUCAGAAACAGGCGAAGUAAAGAGCUGUUGCACUGAACAGUGGAAAGCGGAUAUCCUGUCUUUUGAGAGGAAGCUAAAAAAGCUUGUGCUGUCCAAUCUGAUAAAAAAAAGGCUGGGAAGGGAAAUGACUGCUUUCUGUAAGUACAUUAGUUGUUUAAACUAAGACAAAGGUUACUCAAAAUCAGGAAGUAUAAAAUGUUCAUGCCUGAAUUGAGGCUGCAAAUUGGAAGAAGCUUUCUAAUUUUCAUCAGAGUUAGAGCUUGGAACAGUUUCCCAGGAAGGUUAAUGGGAACGAAAAACAUGGUUAAUUUUAAUAAAGGGUGUGAUCAUUUAAGAAAGCAAUUAUGUGACAAGAUUAUCUGCUAUAGCAGUGAAGAGGAUUCUGGUCCAUCUAUUUUGAUUACUAGUAAACUAAAGGAUUUUAAAAAUGUUAUCUGCUAAGAAUAUUUUAUUUUAGAGUAUGUUUUUCUUUGUAAAAUAUAUUAUUGAUAUCCCCUCAACUUUUUUUUAAUUUUUGUAGGACAAAAAAUAACCAAUACCUCUGCAGGAGAAAAAUCUGCUGGCGAAAAAUCUGCUUGCAGUACUUUGAAAUAGAUCUACAAAAAUCUAAAGUCUGGAUUUUGAGACUUGGCAUGAAUAUAAUGUGAGCAUAUACUUAACCUGGCAAAAGGGAAUAAACCACUUGGUUUAACAGGACUCUUUCCAGUUUCUAA
This is a long non-coding RNA of Dromaius novaehollandiae (emu), 6850 nucleotides long. RefSeq lists it as uncharacterized. The record is from RefSeq and is a predicted model, not a curated record. Lineage: Eukaryota; Metazoa; Chordata; Aves; Casuariiformes; Dromaiidae. The transcript is spliced from 2 exons.